GCCGGGCGUGGUGGUGCGUGCCUGUAAUCCCAGCUACUCGGGAGGCUGAGGCAGGAGAAUUGCUUGAACCCGGGAGUCGGAGGUUGCAGUGAGCCGAGAUCGCGCCACUGCAAUCCAGCCUGGGCGACAGAGUGAGACUCCGUCUCAA
Molecule: unclassified non-coding RNA, 148 nt
Organism: Macaca mulatta (Rhesus monkey)
Lineage: Eukaryota; Metazoa; Chordata; Mammalia; Primates; Cercopithecidae
Rfam family: Metazoan signal recognition particle RNA
About the family: The signal recognition particle (SRP) is a universally conserved ribonucleoprotein. It is involved in the co-translational targeting of proteins to membranes.
Source: Ensembl